UGCCAGCCGCCGCGGUAAUACGGAGGGGGUUAGCGUUGUUCGGAAUUACUGGGCGUAAAGCGCACGUAGGCGGAUUAGAAAGUUAGAGGUGAAAUCCCAGGGCUCAACCCCGGAACUGCCUCCAAAACUAUCAGUCUAGAGUUCGAGAGAGGUGAGUGGAAUUCCAAGUGUAGAGGUGAAAUUCGUAGAUAUUUGGAGGAACACCAGUGGCGAAGGCGGCUCACUGGCUCGAUACUGACGCUGAGGUGCGAAAGUGUGGGGAGCAAACAGGAUUAGAUA
RNAcentral lists this ribosomal RNA (279 nucleotides) under uncultured bacterium. RNAcentral describes it as "partial 16S ribosomal RNA". It matches the Rfam family "Bacterial small subunit ribosomal RNA", at positions 506 to 784 of the family's 1533-position model. The record is from RNAcentral.